UGAAUUGUACAUUCCAAGUGCUUAGUACAGUACUUAGCACAUAGUAAGUGCUCAAUAAAUACUACUGAAUAAACAAUUGAUAACUAGGCACAGAAUCCAGGGGCUCGCUGAAUCUCAGAACCUGAGUCAAGUAGGCUCCUCUAGUUUCAACUUUUCCUUUGUAGAGCUGAAACUUGUCUUCUCCUCUGGCAAAAAAAUCUUCUUGCUGAAAGUUGGCUUCUUGGGUAUGACUGAAGAGAAGACUCUGCUCCAGGAACACCCAAAAACCAUUUCUCUGUUGGACUAUGACUGGAAGAGGGACACUGCUUACUGGAUUGAUGACUUUGGUCAUCUCAUGUACUCUACUGGUUCUUCAGGGAAGGAGAUCCUGACUGACCACCCAGUGUGCUCAGCCAGCGUGGACAUAUCCACUGGGGACCUGUACUGGCUCCCAUGUGACAGAAAAGCCAUUCAGGUGACCAGAGCCACAGACCUGCAGACCAGGAUGCUCUAUCAUUCCCGCAGUGGGGUUCUGCGUCUCCUCCUGGACUGGCCCAGGGGGUGGCUCUACUGGGUGGAGAGGGACAAGCCCCUCCAGGGGAUGCAGCUGAAUGGCCAGAAUGUGCAGGAAAUCUGGAAUGGCACCUGGCAAGCAGACACUCCAAUGGCCCUGGACAUGAGGUCAUCCAAUAUUCUCUGGACCACCGAGGACUCUGGUGAGAGGUCAAGGAGGUGGUGACUGCAGGCCAGGCUGAGCUGGAAUUACUUACUUUCUCCCAUUCUAGGGGAACUGAAUCAGUCUUACCCUAGAGCAGCCCUUGGUAUUCAUGGAGAGGCUGGGCAACCCAUCUCCCAGGGAGUUGGGGGCCUCACACACCAUGACCUGUAUACUACAGUCCUGGGCAGGGAUGGAUUUUGGGAGAAGGGUACAGAGAAGGAAUGAGGCCCAAAGGAAGAGAGCAUGUGCCUAGAACUCAAUAGACCUGUGUUCUAAUUGAGUUUCCUCCAGUUACUCGGAGCCUCAGUUUCCUCAUCUGUAAAAUGGGGAUGAGAAAACUAUUCUCCUUCCCUCUUAAACUGAACCCCAUGUGGGAAAGGAAAUUGUACAACAUGAUUUUUGUCUACCCCAGUGUUUAGUAUGGGGCUUGCCACUUAAGUGCUUGACAAGUGUUGUUAUUCUGACACCAAUCAUGUUAGUCUUUUCCCCAGAGGGCCAGUUUCCCAUAUGGGGUCUUCCAGACUCUGUUUUCCCCUUCUCUGCAUCCCUCCCAAUCAGCUGGAGUUAAGCUCUGGUCAAGGAUGGGAAAAUUGACCUCAUCUCCUUCCUUCAAGUCUUCCAGAGAAGCUAGCAGAGCACUGACUAUCCUUAGCUGCCCCAUGCCAAACUCAGUGGGGCCCUAACAGUGACCUGCUAACUUUCUAAUGGAAUAACCUAAUGAUGGUCAUUAUGGAUCAACCAACCACUAGCACUUAUUGGGCACCCCCAGGUCAGAGCCCCAUAAGAAACCCCAAGCAGAGCCCAAUAGUUAAUAGACCCAAUCCUGGUACUCAAAGUGCUUACAAUCUAGCAGGGGAAGCAGUGGUGGC
This 1566-nucleotide long non-coding RNA is filed under the name Ornithorhynchus anatinus (platypus). RNAcentral's name for it is "lncRNA (ENSOANG00000051213.1)". The record is from RNAcentral. Lineage: Eukaryota; Metazoa; Chordata; Mammalia; Monotremata; Ornithorhynchidae.